Camelina sativa (false flax) is the source of this 646-nucleotide long non-coding RNA. RefSeq lists it as uncharacterized. The record is from RefSeq and is a predicted model, not a curated record. Lineage: Eukaryota; Viridiplantae; Streptophyta; Magnoliopsida; Brassicales; Brassicaceae.
AUGUUCUAAGAGACGUUACGUGUCGUAAUGUUGUUGAUCGAACUAAAUAAUACAAAAAGAAAAAAAAAAUCCUCUAAACUCGAUUUCUUUUCCUCUCUCUCUUUCUCUUGCGAUUGAAUACCCGAAACGACGAAAGAAUUUGGAAUUAGAAGGCAGAGAAACAUUGAAAGAGAAUCAUCUUGAUUCUGUGGCGGUGACGCUGAAGGAGAAGAGUAGAGAGGUUGAGAGGUAAAAGAUAAGGUUUGGAGGAUUGUUUAUCAAACAGCAGCUCUAGAAGACAAUGUCUCUCCUUUACAUGAGCGAGAAGCUCUAUCUUCUUGAUGUUGGAUAAUACAUAAGUGGGCAAUUCGUGCUUGUAUAUAAUAUAUAUAUGCACCUUCUUUUAUCUCUUGAUGGAUGUUUUGGUUUCAUAGAUGCAACUAUGCAAGUCCAUUGCAGACAAAAUCACAAAGGACUGAUCUUGUUGGUGAGCCAGAACUAGCUUCAUUGAUGCAGCUGAUAAAGGUAGGUUCUCCUUCUUUUGAUUAUUGUUUUCUCCUUGAAUAUCUAUUUAUUCUCUUUGCUCUGUGUUUAACAUUUAUGCUAUGGUUAUUGUCUCCAUUUAUGAAUUGCACUUCUAUUGUAAUAUGUAUUAAUGUUUUUAUUA